This is a long non-coding RNA of Etheostoma spectabile (orangethroat darter), 173 nucleotides long. RefSeq lists it as uncharacterized. NCBI's taxonomy places the organism in Eukaryota, Metazoa, Chordata, Actinopteri, Perciformes, Percidae. The record is from RefSeq and is a predicted model, not a curated record. The transcript has 3 exons.
AUGCUGCUCAUUCUCUCGCUUAGGUCCGCCAUUACAUUUCUUUAUCGAGCCGGCAAAGCCGUGCACAUAGGAUUGUGGGUGAUUUGGGAGAGUGAAAGAUACACAUAUGCAUCCUUUGCCGUCAAUGGGAAGUUUUCUGAACGAAGGACUCAGUUCUUGGAGGAAUUCGGAUG